This 254-nucleotide ribosomal RNA is filed under the name uncultured bacterium. RNAcentral describes it as "partial 16S ribosomal RNA". It matches the Rfam family "Bacterial small subunit ribosomal RNA", at positions 524 to 776 of the family's 1533-position model. The record is from RNAcentral.
UACGGAGGGAGCUAGCGUUAUUCGGAAUUACUGGGCGUAAAGCGCACGUAGGCGGCUUUGUAAGUAAGAGGUGAAAGCCCAGAGCUCAACUCUGGAAUUGCCUUUUAGACUGCAUCGCUUGAAUCAUGGAGAGGUCAGUGGAAUUCCGAGUGUAGAGGUGAAAUUCGAUAGAUAUUCGGAAGAACACCAGUGGCGAAGGCGGCUGACUGGACAUGUAUUGACGCUGAGGUGCGAAAGCGUGGGGAGCAAACAGG